Molecule: long non-coding RNA, 1816 nt
Organism: Felis catus (domestic cat)
Lineage: Eukaryota; Metazoa; Chordata; Mammalia; Carnivora; Felidae
Exons: 2
Source: RefSeq, a predicted model, not a curated record
CCCCCCCCACCCCCCCGCCCCGGGGCUUCCCUGUGCCUGGGUCUUCCUGGCAUCCCCAGCGCCCGUUACCCGGGUGGGUCCUGCCCCUGCACCCAACCUGCUCCCCCCUCCCCAGGUGGGUCCUCCCCGUGCCUCCACACCCGGGCCCUGCCAGCAUCCCUGGCGCCCCUUCCCGCAAUGGCCAUCACAGCCUCCACGCUGGUCCAGAGCCCCUCCCAGGGCCUCCAGCCCCCUCUCUCCCACUCUCCCCUCCCCGGAGAAGGUGGCUCUCCCAAGUCCCCCCGCCCCGCCCCCCCCCCCCACCUGCCCUGAAUCCCAGCCGCCCAGCCUCAGCCACAUGGCCCUGCUGCUGCACACCUCCCUUCCGGGCCUGGCUCUCUCCACCCACCCCAGGGGGGUCUUUGUCUCUGCCCUCACUGCCCAGCCCCCAUGGCCAUGCUUGGACACUGGUGGUGCCCCCAUCCACAUGGGCAAGUUCCCCGGCUGGUGCGGCCUCCCUGAACUGUGGCCUCGUGAAAAGGCCAAGCCCAGUCCGCCGCCCAUGAGGUUGGGGAGGUGGGCCCUGAGGCUGGAAGGACCGCCUCUGUGUGGAACAAGACUAACAUCCAGCGCCCUGCCCUAAACCAGCCCUGAGGCGGUCGACAGAUCCCGGGUAAAUUGCAGAAAUUCAGUGUCAACUGCAGAAAUUCUACGAUUUCAUCCAUUAGUUAGCAGUGCAAACAGACGUUCACAGGGAUGUUCUGUGCGGCUAAAUCCACACAUCCAACAACAGACAAACUGGAAGAGGGAGGGAGGAGGCGAGGGGCCAGCGCAAACCCCGUAGAGAAUGCUCCUGAAGCAGAAGACGACUCCCCAGGAGUGCCACCAGUCACGAACGAACAUGAGAGGAACGUGCGAUCGCUAAUCAGAAGCCCAAGUAGUGGAUGACAAAACAGCAGACUGGAAGCAAGAUUAACAGCCGAGGAAACUCGCUUCCUCACAAUCACAGCAUUCUGGAAUAAGUCUGAAGCAGCACGGGGCACGACGUCAGAUUACCGAUGGGGCAAAGGCUGGAGACCAUCUGCGGGCAAGACAAAGCAACAGAAACAAGAAUUUAUUUGUUCGACCGUUACUUGUGGAACGUCUGCUUGGUGCCACAGUUUAGAUGGGCGGGGGGGGGGGGGGCAGGGGGUAAGGACACACGAUCUCUGCCCUCGGGGAGCACACAGCCCAGUGGGGAGGAAGGCAGGGAUGAUAAUACACGAUGAGGUCACGUGUCCUGAAGAGGGUGGGGGGGACAAUUGUUGAGAGAGAUCAGGACGUUGGGAAGGAGGGACCCUCAGCCCUGCGCAGGUGCGGCACCCCUCAGGGCCCACGGGGCGCGGGCUUCGCCACUGGAGGGCUCAGAGUGACCUUUCUUCGGGGAACCCCUGGCGGUGGCACCCGGUGGGGGCUGAGAAGAUGCAGAGGCUCCAGUGGCAGAGGGCUCGGAGGGGGCGCAGAGAUCGGUGUCCCAGAGUGACAAGGGUCCUGCAGGCCGUGCUCAGCAGGAUCCGCACUGAGGCCUACCGCGCCUGAACCCGGCCGUCAGGGGUCAGUAGAACUGUUUAUCGGGAAGCACAGAUCGCAGACACAGCAGACUCGGACAGAAAGCCAGGUUGACCCUCACUUCUGCAGUGACACUCAGAGCGGGAAGACCCAGCCCUGAGGGAAAGACGGUGUCACCCAAGACAGGAAGGAAGGGUCCCCGGCCAGCUCUGGUGUGGGUCUAAGGGCCUCAGGGAAACCUCUGUAAACCUAGAAGAAUCCAAGAAAUAAACGUUUUCAGACACAUAAA